This 486-nucleotide ribosomal RNA is filed under the name uncultured bacterium. RNAcentral's name for it is "bacterial SSU rRNA". It matches the Rfam family "Bacterial small subunit ribosomal RNA", at positions 374 to 881 of the family's 1533-position model. The record is from RNAcentral.
GAGGAAACUCUGAUGCAGCGACGCCGCGUGAACGAUGAAGGCCUUCGGGUCGUAAAGUUCUGUCCUAGGGGACGAUAAUGACGGUACCCUAGGAGGAAGCCCCGGCUAACUACGUGCCAGCAGCCGCGGUAAUACGUAGGGGGCAAGCGUUGUCCGGAUUUAUUGGGCGUAAAGGGUGCGUAGGCGGCCUUUUAAGUCAGAUGUGAAAGGUCACGGCUCAACCGUGGUAAGCAUUUGAAACUGAAAGGCUUGAGUUAAGGAGAGGAAAGUGGAAUUCCUAGUGUAGCGGUGAAAUGCGUAGAUAUUAGGAGGAAUACCAGUGGCGAAGGCGACUUUCUGGACUUAUACUGACGCUGAUGCACGAAAGCGUGGGGAGCGAACAGGAUUAGAUACCCUGGUAGUCCACGCCGUAAACGAUGAGUGCUAGGUGUUGGGGGUCAAACCUCGGUGCCGCAGCUAACGCAUUAAGCACUCCGCCUGGGGAGU